RNAcentral lists this long non-coding RNA (5765 nucleotides) under Sus scrofa (pig). Its description in RNAcentral is "lncRNA (ENSSSCG00015006370.1)". Lineage: Eukaryota; Metazoa; Chordata; Mammalia; Artiodactyla; Suidae. The record is from RNAcentral.
CACCGUAACCAGAGCAAUGCAGGUUUGAGCUGUGUCUGUGACCUACAUCUCAGAUAAUAGCCAUGCCAGAUCCUUAACUCACUAAGGGCGGCCAGGGAUCAAACCUGUAUCCUCAUGGAUACUAGUCAGGUUUGUUGCUGCUGAGCCAUAAAAGGAACUCCUCAAGGUAUUUUUUAAUUUCCUUUUUGAUUCCUCGUUGUCCCAUUUGUUUCUUGGUAGUUUCUUAUUUAAUCUCCAUUUAGUAGGUUUUUUCCUCAUUUCUUUCCCUCUGGUUGAUAGCCAGUUUCAUGCUAUUUUGGUCAGAGAAGAUGCUUGAAAUAAUUUCUCUACUCUUAAAUUUGCAAAGGUUAAUUUUAUACCCUAGUAUGUUGUCAAUACUAGAGUAUGUUCCAUGUGCACUUGAAUGUAUAUUCUGUUGGGGUUUUUUUGGAUGUAAUGGCCUGAAAAUAUCAAUUAAGUCUAAUAGUUCUAUUGUGCCAUUUAGGAUCUUUUUGUUUUACUGAUUUUCUGUGAGAAGAUCUGCCCAUUGAUAUAAGCAAGAUGUUAAAGCCCCUAAUCUUAUUGUAUUCCCAUCAAUUUCUUCCUUUCUACCUGUUAGUAUUUGUUUUAUGUAUUUGGGUACUCCUCUAUUAGGGGCAUAUAUGUUCAUGAGUAUAAUAUCCUCUUCUUGAAUUGAUCAUUUUAUCAUCAAAUAGUGUCCUUCUUUGUCUUAUUUUAGGGCCUUUCUUUUAACGUAUAUUUUAUCUGAUAUGAGUAUUGAGACAUCUGGGUUUUUUUGUCACUUCUGUUUGCGUGAAAUAUCUUUUUGCAUUCCCUCACUUUCAACCUAUGUUUGUCCUUUGCCCUAACGUGAGUCUCUUGAAGGAAGCAUAUUGUAGGCUUUUGUUUUUUUAUCUAGUCUGCCACUCUGUCUUUUGAUUUGAACAUUCAGUCCAGUGACAUUUAAGGUAAUUACUGAUACUUAUGUAUUCAUUGCCAUUUUAAACCUUAUUUUCCAUUUGAUUCUAUGUUUCUCCUUUGUUUCUUUUUCUUUUUUGUCAUUUGCUGGUUUCCUUUUAUUUUAUGCUUGUGUCUUCUUUUUAGUUUUGGUGAAUCUUUUAUUGGUUUUUGAUUUGUGGUUGCCCUGUUUUCCAAGUGUCUUAACCCUUUCCUAUAUCUCCUUGCUUUAGACUCAUAGCCAUAUAAGCUCUAACACAUUCUAAAAAUAGAAGUGAAGGGAGUUCCCAUCAUGGCUCAGAAGUAACAAACCUGACUAAGAUCCAUGAGGAUGUGGGUUUGAUCCCUGGCCUCGCUCAGUAGGUUAAGGAUCCAGUGUUGCCAUGAGCUGUGGUGUAGGUCACAGAUGCAGCUCAGAUAUGGUGUUGUUGUGGCUGUAGUGUAGGCUGGCAGCUACAGCUCUGAUUCAACCUCCAGCCCGGGAACUUCCAUAUGCCACAGGUGCUGCCCUAAAAAAUAAAAUAAAAUAGUGGACAUUUUCUUACUCUCCUUCCCCACAUUUUUAAAUUUAAUUUAAUUUUUUAUUUUAUUUUAUUGUUGUUUAGGCCUACACCCUCAGCACACACAAGUUCCAAGGCUAGGGGUCAAACCAGAGCUACAGCUGCCGACCACAGCCACAGCCAUGGCUACAUGGGAUCCAAGCCAUGUCUGUGACCUACACCAGAGCUCAUGGAAACCCCAGAUCUCAGACCCACUGAGCAAGGCCAGAGAUCAAACCCGCAUCCUCACAGAUACUAAUUGGAUUCAUUUCCUCUGUGCCACAAUGGGACCUCCCUUGCCCAGAUUUUGGGAUUUUGAUUUAUUUUUUACAUCUUCACAUUUAUUCUUUUGCUAUUCUUUGUGUUUAUCAGUGCUUUCACAAAUUUUUUUUUUUUGGUUUUGAUCUGUUCACUGACUUAUUUAAGUGAGCACUUUCCAAUUAUGAUUUUCUCCAUCAUAAUACGUUUUUACUUCUUUCCUAUUUAGAGGAGCCAUUUCAAUAUUUCUUUUAGCAUAGGUUGUAUUGCUGCAUUUGUUUAGUUUUUGCUUCUCUAAGAAAUUCUUUUUCGUUUGUGUGUUUUGUUUGUUGGUUGGGUUUUUUUGUUUGUUUGUUUGUUUGCCUUUUUUAGAGCCACACCCACUGCAUAUGAAAGUUCCAAGGCUAGGGGUCAUAUCAGAACUAUAGUUGUGGCCACAGCCAUAGCAAUAUGGGAUCCAAACUGCAUCUGUGACCUACACCAGAGCUCACAGGAACACCAGAUUCCUGACCCCCUGAGCGAGACGAGGGAUUGAACCCACAUCCUCAUGGGUACUCGUCAGAUUCAUUUCAGCUGCACCACAAUGAGAACUCCCUCUGAGAUAUUCUUUAUUUCUCCUAUUUUAAAUGAUCAUCUUCCUGGGUAGAGUAUUUUAGAUUGCAGAUUUUUCCUUUUUAGGACUUUGAAUAUAUCGCCUCUCCCUUCUGGUCUGCAGUGUUUCUGAAAUCAGUUAGUUGCCUUAUGGGGGUUCCCUUGUAAUCACCUCUUUGUUUUUCUCUUGCCACCUUUAGAAUCCUACCCUUAUCUUUAAUUUUUGACAUUUUUUAAGUCAUAUAUCUUGGUAUAGGUCUGUUUGGGUUCAUCUUGUUUAGGACCCUCUAUGCUUCCUCUAUCGAUAUCUGUUUCCUUCUUUAGAUUUGGGAAAUUUUCAGGCAUAAUUUCUUCAAAUACAGUUUCAAUCCCCUUUUUUCUUUCUUCCCUUUCUGGGAUCCAUAUUAUGUGUAGAUUGGCAAGCUUUAUACUAUCCAAUAGAUCUGUUAUAUUGCUUCCAUUUUUUUUUUUUAAUUUGCCUUCUAUCUGCUGUCUGGAUUGGAAGAUUUCCAUUACUCUAUCUUCCAAGUCACUUAUUCCUUCAUCUGCGUUAUUCAUUCUGCUAUUCUUUGCCUUUAGCUCAGUGUCUGUCUUGGCAAUGAAUUUUCUAAAUUUUCUUGGCUCCUCCUUUAUAGUUUCUAGUUCCUUUUUUGAAGUAAUCUGUGUUACUAUUGAUAGCCUUUCUUAAUUGCUUCAGUAAUUUCAUUAUAUCCUUUUUGAACUUGGUGUCUGUUAGACUGCAGAAGUCUGGUUCAUUGUUUGUUCCUUCCAGGGAAUUCUUCUAUUCUUCUAACUGGGAGUGGUUCCUCAGCUUCUUCAUUUUAUUUAUAUUUUUUCUUACUCUGUGAGUUUAGGGAAAACAAGUAUCUAAUGUAGUCUUGAAGGACUAUUUAUAUGUGGGGACAUCCCUAGGUAGCUUGUGUGGGUUUAUUCUUUUUUUAGACAUGAGGGCUGCUUUUGGUUUGGAUGCCUACUAUCUCUUUCUUCAAUGUGUGUAGGCCAUUAUUCCCUUCAUAGGGGGUGAGUAGUUUUAUGGCUCAUGCUGCUUCAGGUAGGUGGGGCAAUUACCAGUGUCUGCAGGUAGCACUUGGUUACCAGGCCCUUGGUGGUGGCAGUAAACAUGCAGAGGUGUAUGUAGUGAGCUGCGCCUGGUUGCAGGGCCCCUGGCAGUGGCAAUGACCCCCAAAGAGGUUGAGGGAGCACCUAGUCAUGGGGUCUUGGCAGCUGCAACAGUGGGGCAUGUAUGUUCCCAAGGAGGUGGGGGCAAUUGGCUGUACUCAGGCACAGGGCCCUCUACAACAAGGUCAGUACUUAAAUUCCUGGUGAGGGUAGCAAGCAUUGGCAGGCCACACCUACCUCUGGAGUCUGAGAUGGCUAUGGAGCCUUGUACCCAUCCCCAUAGCCUAUGCAAGAGGUUCCCUGCCACCUGAGAGCCGACAUGCGCAGAGAAAGAAGUUCCUAUGGUGGUCUUGCUUCUUCCACCCUCUGCACUUCUCAACAAUGGUGCCUUGCUUCUCCGGUAGGCCCAGGCCUCCUAUCUAACUCCCUCUACUAUGAACACCACUAUCUAGCCCUCUCAGGAUAUUUCCACACACCAAACUCCAGUCAUCUCCCUGGGACUGACCUCCAAAGCCUGACUGAGCCUCAGCACCCAGUCCCUGCCCUAGUGUCUCAGGCUUUGGUGUGCUGGGCAGUGGUGCCAAUCAUCUGUGCAGUUCUCUGCUUUGCCUUCCUCAUACUGGCUGCUGCACUUUUUCUGAGGCUUUGAGUUUCCCUUUCCAUCCUGGCUUAUCUCCCCAUCAGUUAGGUGGCCUCCCAGGGUGCAGAUUCCUUUCUUCUUUCACAGUUCCCUCUCAGAAGUGCUGGUCCAGUCCUGAUUCCUUUUUCUUCCUUCCCUCUUCUCUCUCUCUCUUUUUCCUUUUGUCCUACCCAGUUACAUGGAGGUUUUCUUGCCCUUUUUGAAUGUCUGAGGUCUCCUGCCAGCUUCAGUAGAUGUUCUGUGAGAAUCAUUCUACAUGUAGAUUUUUUUUUAUGUUUUUGUUGGAAAACUGAGCUCUAUGUCCCCCUCCUCUGUCAUCCUGCUCCUGCAUCUGGUUGUACUUUUUAAAAAAAAUUUUUUGGUGACACCUGCAUCAUAUGAAAUUUCCCAGACCAGGAACUGAAUCUGAGCCACAGCUGCAACCAACACUGUAGCUGUGCCAAUGCCAGAUCCUUUAAAAACUCACCAUGCUAGGCCUGGGAUCAAACAUGCCCCUUUUCAGUGACCCAAGCCACUUAAGUCUGAUUCUUAACCCACUGUGCCACAGUGGGAAUUCCUGGUUGUACUUUCUGAUGUUUCAGUUACUUGCAGUCAACUAUGGUCUGAAAAUAUGAAAUGGAAUAUUUAAGAAACACAUAAUCACACAAUUUGGACUGCAUACAAUUCUGAGCACUGUAUUUAAAUCUCAUUCUGUCCUGCUCCAUUCCUUCUGGGACGUGAUUUCCUUUGCCUAGCAUAUCCCUCCUGAUAGUCACUUAAUACUGUCUCAGUUAUCACAUCAACUAUUGAAGUUUCACAGUGCUUAUGACCAGGUAAUCCUUAUUUUACUUAAUAAUGGCCCAAAGUGCGAGAGUAAUGAUGUUAGCAUUUUGCAUAUUCUCUUAUUGUGCCUAGCUUAUGAAUUCAACUUUAUCAUAGGCAUGAAUGGAAAGACACAUUGUGUAUAUAUUUUGAUACUCUCUGUGGUUUCAUUCAUCCACUGUGGUUUUGGAAGGUAAUGCACAUAGAGAAGGGAGGACUUCUGAACCCCCACAAAUGACAACUGGGAGGGAGUGGAGGGGUUCAUCCUUGACAUAAAUUAUAGGAAAUUUGAAUUACAUCCAGUUGGGAAGACAUUCCUACACCCAAAUUAAAGAACAUAAAAUCUGAGGGGAAAUUUUUGUAAUGUUUUACUUGCUGAAAAUCAUUUUUGUCUGAUUUGAUGUACCAUUCCCUAUAGCACUUUAUAUUUUCUGAGAAGGCCUAGAUUCAUAAAACACACAUACACACACACACACACACACACAGUUGGGUGGUGGUGGGAGUAUUUGUAAUCAGGAUGGUCACAGCAGUAACUCUCAUUCAUCAAAGCACCAUGACAUUCCCUGCUCUGUGCCAUGUGUUUUGUAUACUUCACAUAUAUGAAAGUCUUACAAGAUAGAACUGAUAAAAUCAAAAUCACAUGUGAAUAUCCUCAGGCUCAAAGAGCUUGUGAUUGUCCCUGAUUUCACAUGUCUAGUCUGUGACAGAGCUGUCACUAGGCCUCUUCUCUGAAUUCAUCUGGAACCACUCAGUUCCACUCUUGCCAGCUUGAAUCAGACCUGCUAUCUCUUACCUCUCUUCUUGCUACUCCUGAAUGCCUCUCAGGAUAUGGAAAGAAGGAUAUAGCAACCAGGAACUUAAAUCAGGUUUAAAGAAUAAAG